This is a long non-coding RNA of Lolium perenne, 2106 nucleotides long. RefSeq lists it as uncharacterized. Lineage: Eukaryota; Viridiplantae; Streptophyta; Magnoliopsida; Poales; Poaceae. The record is from RefSeq and is a predicted model, not a curated record.
CCUCGAGAUCCCAUCGUCCCGCGUGGAGACCGCUGCCGCCAUCGACACCCCGUCCUCCUGCAUCUAGGGCAACCGCCGCCAUCCUGCAUCGUGGGCGGCCGCCGCCACCAGCGGAUCGGCCCGGUCCUGCAUCGCCGGCACCAGACAUGGAUGGUCAAGGCCCUGGCGACGAAGAGAGUGAAGAUUAUCUCCUCGUGAUUUGCUCGAGCACUCUCAGUAUUACAAGUCACGUAUCCGUAGGAAUGAAGAGGAGCUGGAUGCCAAAGCUUCGCAGUCGGUACCUUUCACUAAAAUAUCCGAUCACCCACUGUUGAAAAGUGCUGCCCGUAUUUAUACUCCGGUAAUGUUCAAGAUGGUAGAGGAGCAGAUCAUGAAAUCUGAUGAAUGGGAGAUUGGUGAGGUGACCCAGCAAGAUGCCUUUGGUUUUAGUUGUAUUGUAGUCAUUAAAUGGGGCAAUCAUGAUGUGACGUGUUUUUCGCGAGACCUUGAUGGAGAGCGUGUGCUGCCACUGUCGGAAGAUGCAGCGUGAGGAAAUCCACUGUGCACACGUAUUUUGUGUUCUGAAACACCUAGGCUUCCGCGACAUACCUCGCUGAUGUAUUGCCGUCAGAUGGACAAUGCAAGCUAAAGCUGGUUUGGAACCCGAGGGCAAUAACAGUAGACAUGUUUGGUCUGAACAUAUGGAUCGGUACCGCGAACUCCGAAACAAGGCGAAUACAUUUCUAUUCAAAGCUUCAUUGAGCAUCCAGGAAUCACAUAGAGUGAUGGAAUUUUUUAACACUAUUUCGUUGGAUGACGACGAGAAUGCUGAGGCUGGCGAGAAUGAUGUCAAUACUGCUUCCAAAACAUUUGGUCCGUUGCCUGCAUAUUUUUCAGGGGCAAACCAAGGUUUUAGUGGGAAAGUUAUCGAUCCAAUUACGAUAAAGCCAAAAGGUGCUCCAUCUAAGAAGAUGCCUAAGGCGUUCCAUGAGAGAUUCAGACCCGCGGACUAAGGUGGUAUGUGAUUUGAAGCAAAAGGUGCUGUUGUGUCGUCUUCCGAAGGUGGUUCUCUUCCCAACGUGUGAUGAUUCUGGUACAUGGAUGUGGCGAUGUUCUGAUAAGGUUUUAGGCUUAGCUCUGAAACACGAAACACAUUUUCUUAUUUUCUUAUUCUGAAAUGUCAGUUACAUAUGUGUUCAGUGUCAAUUUUAUGAAAUACGCCAGUAUAGAUGAACUCUGCUCUGACUUUCCGUUUUCUCAUUUCCUUGCGCAUCUGAUUUAGUAUUAUAGCUUUGCUUUGUGGGCUAGUGGGUACAAAGUAUCAGGGCUGAGAGCCUGAGAGUGUGUAGACAAAGGAGCAGCUUUAACCAGUGAUAAUGGCGUUCUAAGUUUGCUUGUUGUUGUGGAGUAUUCCUGUCAAGUUCUGUGAACAUGGGAAUCGGCAAAGAAUUUUCUCACUAUCUUUGAUUUCUAUUACAGUUGUCUGUGAAUUUUGUAUUUCUGAAUUAUAGCCCUGGUGUUUUACAAAUAUAGGCCAGCUAACAGGUGGAUUUCUGAAUAAGACAAUGACUUAAUUUUGCACCAUCAGCUAACAGGUGGAUUUCUGAAUGAUAUGGUACUGUUAUGGAUUGUAUUUUCGUAUUACCGAUCUACAUUGAUUUUCUCAAAAAGAUAUAGUGUAACAGACAUAGCCUGGAAUUGAUAGUACAAAGGACAAAACAGGCCCGACAGGGUGCGGAUACUGGAGCAAACAAGCGUUCUGCUGUAGGUGUUUCGUCAGUCCAGAGGCAGACAGCAACAAGGCUGAAGUGAUGUGGUUUUGAUUAAAAUUCAACCUUGCUAUUUGUGCUUAAUGUAUUUUUACUUCUCCCCUGCUUUACCUGUCUCUUAUUCUAAUCCAUGUAACGGAGAUGGAUUAGAUUAGACAAGCUGCUCCUGAGAAAAUAAAUAUCUGUGAAAAUGUGGGAGUUAUUAUUUUUCCUUUCCGCUAGAAUAAAUAUGUGGAUUUUGCCCGCCCGAGACAUGCUGCUCUGUAAUUUUUUUCUAGACCAGCAUCCUGGAAUUCAGUUAUGGGCUCAAAAAUUACAGUACAUCACCUAUAUCUCUGGUAUUCCCCUUCUUUGUAAA